GGUGCCUAUGUUUUGUUUAAUAACGUGACAAGUGGAUGGCUCUUUCUGUGUGUCCAUGGAAGCGAAUGGGUUCAUUGAAAAUCUCACUUGAUUACUUUAACCGCACCCGCAGGGUGGGGGUGGGGGGGGAUAAAAUCCCUGCACAUCCUCAAACGCGGUUAUUAAGAUUAUAACUUUUGGUUAUUUACAGCUUAAUAACAAUUAGCGGCAGAGAAGAA
This is a non-coding RNA of Pelobates cultripes (western spadefoot toad), 218 nucleotides long. NCBI's taxonomy places the organism in Eukaryota, Metazoa, Chordata, Amphibia, Anura, Pelobatidae. The record is from the annotation of a GenBank genome assembly.